Long non-coding RNA from Haliotis rubra (blacklip abalone), 328 nucleotides. RefSeq lists it as uncharacterized. NCBI's taxonomy places the organism in Eukaryota, Metazoa, Mollusca, Gastropoda, Lepetellida, Haliotidae. The transcript is spliced from 2 exons. The record is from RefSeq and is a predicted model, not a curated record.
AACCAACCAACCAAUUUAAAUCUAUUCAGUCACUCUGAUCUGCUCAUUAUUUAAUUCCAUUCACAGGGAAAGAAGCAUGUGAUAUGUGGUACAGUGAAAUCAGCAAAUACGACUACAACAAAGCUGGCUACUCAAAUGGAACGGGUCACUUCACACAGAUGGUAUGGAAAGGCAGCAAGGAACUGGGUGUCGGUAUCGCUAAGGGACACGACGGGAAGAUAUACGUUGUCGCCAACUACCUACCGCCUGGAAACUAUACGGGGCAGUUCCAGGACAAUGUAUUCCCACCAAAAUAAAUGUUUUUAUUGUGAUUAAAUAUCGUUUACAA